RNAcentral lists this ribosomal RNA (435 nucleotides) under uncultured soil bacterium. RNAcentral describes it as "bacterial SSU rRNA". It matches the Rfam family "Bacterial small subunit ribosomal RNA", at positions 26 to 459 of the family's 1533-position model. The record is from RNAcentral.
AGGACGAACGCUGGCGGCGUGCUUAACACAUGCAAGUCGAACGGUGAACUCCGCUUGCGGGGGGAUCAGUGGCGAACGGGUGAGUAACACGUGGGCAACCUGCCCUCAGCUCUGGGAUAACUCCAAGAAAUUGGGGCUAAUACUGGAUAUGACCGCUGACCGCAUGGUCUGGUGGUGGAAAGAUUUAUCGGCUGGGGAUGGGCCCGCGGCCUAUCAGCUUGUUGGUGGGGUAGUGGCCUACCAAGGCGACGACGGGUAGCCGGCCUGAGAGGGUGACCGGCCACACUGGGACUGGAGACACGGCCCAGACCGUCCUACGGGAGGCAGCGAGUGGGGAAUAUGCGCAAGUGGCGAAAGCCUGACGCAGCGACGCCGCGUGGGAUGACGGCCUUCGGGUUCGUAACCGUCUUCGUAGCACGGACGGAAGACGAAGUA